Molecule: ribosomal RNA, 497 nt
Filed under: uncultured bacterium
Lineage: Bacteria
Description: partial 16S ribosomal RNA
Rfam family: Bacterial small subunit ribosomal RNA
Source: RNAcentral
GAUGAACGCUGGCGGCGUGCCUAAUACAUGCAAGUCGAGCGAACGGACGAGGAGCUUGCUUCUCUGAUGUUAGCGGCGGACGGGUGAGUAACACGUGGAUAACCUACCUAUAAGACUGGGAUAACUUCGGGAAACCGUAGCUAAUACCGGAUAAUAUUUUGAACCGCAUGGUUCAAAAGUGAAAGACGGUCUUGCUGUCACUUAUAGAUGGAUCCGCGCUGCAUUAGCUAGUUGGUAAGGUAACGGCUUACCAAGGCAACGAUGCAUAGCCGACCUGAGAGGGUCGUCGGCCACCCUGUAACUGAGACACGGCCCAGACUCCUACGGGAGGCAGCAGUAGGGAAUCCUCCGCAAUGGGCGAAAGCCUGACGGAGCACCGCCGCGUGAGUGAUGAAGGUCUUCGGAUCGUAAAACUCUGUUAUUAUGGAAGAACAUAUGUGUAAGUAACUGUGCACAUCUUGACGGUACCUAAUCAGAAAGCCACGGCUAACUACGUG